CGAGAAACGAAAGAAAAACUGACAUCGACGAAAUCAGAUGAGAUCUUUUGAAUAUCUUUCACAAUACCAUAGAUCUCAGGGUUCUGGGUGUCGUUGUUGAUUGCUUUUAUAAGCGUUAGGUUGUCAGACAGCAUCUGGAGGUCCGUGACUCCCAUCGCUGCUGCAGAGAUGAUUCCUGACCGGAGGGCUAAAGCUUCUUCGAUCAGCGGACUGGAGACAAAGUCUUGUGUUGUGGCUCCCCUGUGAUUGCAGCUUCCGGAUAUAUUUGUGAAGAUCCAAGCUAGCCCUGCUUUGUUCCGGCUUUUGUCCCAUGCUGCGUCCGAUUUGCAGAUCACUCUCAUGGAGCUGACGGGUUUAUGGUUAGAUCUGCAUCCGAUGUGUGGCUUCUCUGUGCAUCUAGGCUUUUGAGUUUUCAAUCCUUGUGCAAAGCUCCAUUCCUGCGCUGAUCGAAGUGCCCUCGCCGCCGUUUCCUCUGGUGUAUUGUGUUGAUCCUCAAAGAUUAGUGUGUUGCGGGCAGUCCACACCGUCCAACAAACCCAUGGUAGGAUGUUCCCUGUGAUUCCCGAUGGUGGCAAGCAGACCGCUUUCCUAAAUCUGGUAAUGGCAUCUUUGAAGCUCCUGUCAGUUGCGAUUACAAUUUCUCUCUGCAGUGGGAUUAAAUCCCAAACCCCUUGUGCAAAGGGGCAGAAGAAGAAUGUGUGCAUAGCCGUUUCAACUUCUUUGCAUCUCAUACAAACAGCUUCUGAGUUAAUUCCUCUGUGUUGCAGAUUGACUCCCAAUGGUAGGGCGUUCUGUGCAAUCGACCAGAGGAACAUUUGCAUUUUAGGGGAGAAGCUACCUGUCCAUAUGUCUUUGAUCCAGUCAAAGCCAUUAUGGUCUGAUGGCUCGGGGGUUGCAUCAUUCAUAGAAACUGUGAAGUAUCCCGACUUGAAAGAAUAUUUCCCUGACUUUGACGCUUGCCAGAUGAAAGUGUCUGAUGCUCCUGUCUCACUUGGCCUAAUGCAUUUGACUCUGUCUGCCACCAGAGGUAUGAACUCCUGUAGUCUUGAUUCAUUCCACUUCAUUUCGGAUGUUAGUAGAUCAGAAACGCGCAGAUCAAUUCCUGACUCUGGUAUGGGUCCAUAGAUCUUUAUGUUUUCUUGUAGCGCUAGCCAUGAGUCAUUCCACACUUUAGUAUCCUCGCCAUUACCUAUAGCCUUU
RNAcentral lists this long non-coding RNA (1200 nucleotides) under Brassica rapa (field mustard). RNAcentral describes it as "long non-coding RNA (BRAP_LNC006404)". The record is from RNAcentral. Lineage: Eukaryota; Viridiplantae; Streptophyta; Magnoliopsida; Brassicales; Brassicaceae.